ACGUAAGGACACAUAACAAGCUUUCUUCUAUCCGUUGGGCAACAGUCGUUGUAAUGAACGUCAGAUAUGGCAUGAUAUUUCAAGGAAGUUUAACUUGAGCAAUUACUGAUUCCAUCCAGACUCCGGAGCCUCUGUUUGUCAAGAAGGAAGAACACGAGU
Long non-coding RNA from Neomonachus schauinslandi (Hawaiian monk seal), 159 nucleotides. RefSeq lists it as uncharacterized. Lineage: Eukaryota; Metazoa; Chordata; Mammalia; Carnivora; Phocidae. The record is from RefSeq and is a predicted model, not a curated record. The transcript has 3 exons.